RNAcentral lists this long non-coding RNA (898 nucleotides) under Equus asinus (donkey). RNAcentral's name for it is "lncRNA (ENSEASG00005028178.1)". Lineage: Eukaryota; Metazoa; Chordata; Mammalia; Perissodactyla; Equidae. The record is from RNAcentral.
AAGGUCUUUAAGUAGGUGAUUAAGUUAAAAUGAGUCAUUAGAGUGGGCUCUAAUCUAAUAUGACUAGUGUUGUUUUAAGAAGAGGAAGUUAGGACACAGACACAUACCGAGGGAAGAUGAUGUGAAGACACAGGGAGAAGACAGCCACCUACAAGGCAAGGAGAGAGGCCUCAGGAGAAACCAACCGUGCCAACAUUUUGAUCUCAAACUUCUAGCCUCCAGAACUGUGAGGAAACUGAGGCACAGAGAGCUCAUGCAACUUUCCCCGAGUCUUCCAACUAUUGUCUGAAGGACUUAAACCCAGGAAGUUGGUUACUGAAUUUAUUGUCUAACCAGUAAGACAUACUGCCUUUUUGUGUGGAGCAUAGUGACCUGAGGAAACAUCUUUCUGGAAAGUUGGCUUGUGCAGCACUUCUCAAAGUGUGGUCAAUGGACUCCUGGGGAGAUCCUCUGUGGAGUCUGUGAGGAUCCCUCCACAGCAUGGCUGACGAGUGGAGUAUGUCUGCACCCAGGAUCCGAAACCCCAAACCCAGGCCACCAAAAUGGAGCAUGGAACUUUCAACUACUCGGCAACAGGGCCACCAGGAAAGAGCCUCUUCUUAAUUCUUCUACUGGCUUUCUUGGGAUUUGAGCGGUAGGACUGUGCUCAAACAAUUGGCCUGCUUUUUUAGAAACAUGUAAAUCCAAAACUCCAGGGUGAAGGCAGUUAAUCUCAGUAUGCCUGGUCUCUCUCUGGAUGAUUUCUUUCCAGAUUACUUUGGUAGAGAAAUCAGAUUUCUCAGAAAGUAUAUUCACUUGAUAUUGAAGAAAAAACAAAAGGAAAACACACCUACAAAAGUAUGCAGCUGAAUCAUUUAUUGAUUAAAUUUCCUAAUAAAACAUCCAAAUCCAAAUUGCC